CCGACGGUGAGAGGUGAAAGCUGGGGGAGCAAACCGGAUUAGAUACCCGGGUAGUCCCAGCUGUAAACGAUGCGCGUUAGGUGUGUCAGUGACCACGUGUCACUGAUGUGCCGAAGGGAAACCGUGAAACGUACCGCCUGGGAAGUACGGUCGCAAGGCUGAAACUUAAAGGAAUUGGCGGGGGAGCACCACAACAGGUGGAGCCUGCGGUUUAAUCGGACUCAACGCCGGAAAUCUCACCGGAUAA
This 247-nucleotide ribosomal RNA is filed under the name uncultured archaeon. Its description in RNAcentral is "partial 16S ribosomal RNA". It matches the Rfam family "Archaeal small subunit ribosomal RNA", at positions 691 to 937 of the family's 1478-position model. The record is from RNAcentral.